RNAcentral lists this transfer RNA (160 nucleotides) under Penicillium brasilianum. Its description in RNAcentral is "tRNA-Tyr". Lineage: Eukaryota; Fungi; Ascomycota; Eurotiomycetes; Eurotiales; Aspergillaceae. The record is from RNAcentral.
GUCUGGCUAGCUCAAUUGGCUAGAGCGUGUGACUGUAAGAAACCCACCUUUCAACUGAUCGCCAUUCGUCCGAUCUUCCGGAAACACAACUAACAAUCCCAAAGUUUACUACGAAAGUAUUGAAAUCCCAAGGUUGCGGGUUCGAGUCCCGCGUCAGACG